This 671-nucleotide ribosomal RNA is filed under the name Klebsiella oxytoca. RNAcentral's name for it is "bacterial SSU rRNA". It matches the Rfam family "Bacterial small subunit ribosomal RNA", at positions 55 to 718 of the family's 1533-position model. The record is from RNAcentral. Lineage: Bacteria; Pseudomonadati; Pseudomonadota; Gammaproteobacteria; Enterobacterales; Enterobacteriaceae.
AUGCAAGUCGACGGUAGCACAGAGAGCUUGCUCUCGGGUGACGAGUGGCGGACGGGUGAGUAAUGUCUGGGAAACUGCCUGAUGGAGGGGGAUAACUACUGGAAACGGUAGCUAAUACCGCAUAACGUCGCAAGACCAAAGAGGGGGACCUUCGGGCCUCUUGCCAUCAGAUGUGCCCAGAUGGGAUUAGCUAGUAGGUGGGGUAACGGCUCACCUAGGCGACGAUCCCUAGCUGGUCUGAGAGGAUGACCAGCCACACUGGAACUGAGACACGGUCCAGACUCCUACGGGAGGCAGCAGUGGGGAAUAUUGCACAAUGGGCGCAAGCCUGAUGCAGCCAUGCCGCGUGUAUGAAGAAGGCCUUCGGGUUGUAAAGUACUUUCAGCGGGGAGGAAGGUGUUAAGGUUAAUAACCUUAUCCAUUGACGUUACCCGCAGAAGAAGCACCGGCUAACUCCGUGCCAGCAGCCGCGGUAAUACGGAGGGUGCAAGCGUUAAUCGGAAUUACUGGGCGUAAAGCGCACGCAGGCGGUCUGUCAAGUCGGAUGUGAAAUCCCCGGGCUCAACCUGGGAACUGCAUUCGAAACUGGCAGGCUGGAGUCUUGUAGAGGGGGGUAGAAUUCCAGGUGUAGCGGUGAAAUGCGUAGAGAUCUGGAGGAAUACCGGUGGCGA